UACAGAGGGUGCAAGCGUUAAUCGGAAUGACUGGGCGUAAAGAGUGCGUAGGUGGCUGUUUAAGUGAGAUGUGAAAGCCCCGGGCUUAACCUGGGAACGGCAUUUGAUACUGGACAGCUAGAGUAUGGGAGAGGUAAGUGGAAUUUCCGGUGUAGCGGUGAAAUGCGUAGAUAUCGGAAGGAACACCAGUGGCGAAGGCGGCUUACUGGCCUGAUACUGACACUGAGGCACGAAAGCGUGGGGAGCAAACAGG
Molecule: ribosomal RNA, 253 nt
Filed under: uncultured organism
Description: partial 16S ribosomal RNA
Rfam family: Bacterial small subunit ribosomal RNA
Source: RNAcentral